This is a long non-coding RNA of Sapajus apella (tufted capuchin), 151 nucleotides long. RefSeq lists it as uncharacterized. The record is from RefSeq and is a predicted model, not a curated record. The transcript is spliced from 3 exons. Lineage: Eukaryota; Metazoa; Chordata; Mammalia; Primates; Cebidae.
UUAACAUUAUAGAUAUGAAUCUUUUACUUGAUGACUUUAAAAUAAACCUUUCCUAUUUUGCUGCUUGUUCCUUCAUAUUGGUAUUACUGGAUUGCACUAUAUAGAAGCUUCAUAAUUGUACCAUAUUUUCCUUAAAUGUUUUCUGCUGUGU